Photinus pyralis (common eastern firefly) is the source of this 800-nucleotide long non-coding RNA. RefSeq lists it as uncharacterized. Lineage: Eukaryota; Metazoa; Arthropoda; Insecta; Coleoptera; Lampyridae. The record is from RefSeq and is a predicted model, not a curated record. The transcript is spliced from 3 exons.
AUUUCAUUAGCAAAGUUUAAAAUCUCACGAGUAAUGUAACUCAAAAGAGACUAGAGCCUGCACAUCUACACUGAAGGGUUUUAGUGAAAAGCGAGGUGAAAAGUCUUUAGCUAAUUGCUGAGAUCUCAUCCGGACAAUCAGCCAGCCUGCCAGCCAGUCAGGCAUAUCGAAUAUAAUAGCAUAUAUUUUUUUAGAAAAUGUGCUAAAAAUUAAAUUAGACUGACUCGAUCAGUUGAUAAACCAAACCGGGUUCAAUUAUAAAUCAAACUUUCUUUUACAGAAAUUGUAGGCCAUUGGGUUGUAAUGUCACGUACUCUAGGUCAUCAAGGUCUAGGUAGACACAUGCCCAUCUCCAAAUUAUUUGAAAAUAAGCAUGGGGCCGGGGGACACCGGGAACUUUCCCGCUGGGCCGGUAUUAGGAUCCAUGAGCGCUUUGCGGCUGGCAGCAUCACUCAAAUGAAAACACAAAACAGAGAUAGAGCCAGCAUACACCGUUAAUUAAUAUUCUAAGGGGCACCUCAUAGCUUCAGCUUCUAUUGUCGACACGACAAAGAGAGACUGCGAUUCGAGGUCUUAAGAAACUUUUGGGUACCCAAAGUCGACUAUCCCUCGAAGGCGGGGGUUUACACAUCAAUCACCACGUUAGUACAAAACGCUUCGAGAUGGCGCCCAGAUGUCUCCAAACGCAUCAUGUAGCCUUUUUCCUAAAGUUGUUAAUUAUACGACACCGACCCACAUUUGCUGCCAACCAGCUAGCCAGCCACAUAAAUUUGCAAAGAUGCGCUAAAAAUGAAAUAACU